This 677-nucleotide ribosomal RNA is filed under the name uncultured marine eukaryote. RNAcentral describes it as "SSU rRNA". It matches the Rfam family "Eukaryotic small subunit ribosomal RNA", at positions 613 to 1291 of the family's 1831-position model. The record is from RNAcentral.
UUGUGGUUAAAAAGCUCGUAGUUGGAUCUCGGCGGACUGAGGGCGGUUUGCUUGCUAGUAUUACUGCCCUAUAGUCCGUAGUUUUGCCAGAGGUUUCGGGGUGCUCUUAAUCGAGUGUCCCGGGAUGCUGGCAGGUUUACUUUGAAAAAAUUAGAGUGCUCAAAGCAGGCUAUUACGCCUGAAUAUUCGUGCAUGGAAUAAUAGAAUAGGAAGUCGUUUCUAUUUUGUUGGUUUUCGGAAAUCGACUUAAUGAUUAAUAGGGACAGUCGGGGGCAUUUGUAUUCAAACGACAGAGGUGAAAUUCUUGGACCGUUUGAAGACAAACUACUGCGAAAGCAUUUGCCAAGAAUGUUUUCAUUAAUCAAGAACGAAAGUUAAAGGUUCGAAGGCGAUUAGAUACCGCCCUAGUUUUAACCAUAAACGAUGCCAGCUAGCGAUCUGCGGACGUUUUUUUUGUAGACUCCGCAGGAAGCUUCCGGGAAACCAAAGCAUUUGGGUUCCAGGGGAAGUAUGGUUGCAAAGCUGAAACUUAAAGGAAUUGACGGAAGGGCACCACCAGGAGUGGAGCCUGUGGCUUAAUUUGACUCAACACGGGAAAUCUCACCAGGCCCGGACACUGGAAGGAUUGACAGAUUGAUAGCUCUUUCUUGAUUCGGUGGGUGGUGGUGCAUGGCCGU